Molecule: transfer RNA, 70 nt
Filed under: Polycentropus flavomaculatus
Lineage: Eukaryota; Metazoa; Arthropoda; Insecta; Trichoptera; Polycentropodidae
Description: tRNA-Gln
Source: RNAcentral
UAUAUAUUAGUGUAAUGUUUGCACAAAAAUUUUUGAUUUUUUAGGUUUUAAUUUAUAUUAAAGUAUAUAU